GAUGAAGAACGUAGCGAAAUGCGAUAAGUAAUGUGAAUUGCAGAAUUCAGUGAAUCAUCGAGUCUUUGAACGCACAUUGUGCCCCCUGGUAUUCCGGGGGGCAUGCCUGUCCGAGCGUCAUUGCUGCCCUCAAGCACGGCUUGUGUGUUGGGCCUCCGUCCUCCUCCCGGGGGACGGGCCCGAAAGGCAGCGGCGGCACCGCGUCCGGUCCUCGAGCGUAUGGGGCUUCGUCACCCGCUCUUGUAGGCCCGGCCGGCGCUUGCCGACACAUCAAUCUUUUUUCCAGGUUGACCUCGGAUCAGGUAGGGAUACCCGCUGAACUUAAGCAUAUCAAUAGGAGGA
Molecule: unclassified non-coding RNA, 342 nt
Filed under: soil metagenome
Description: partial contains 5.8S ribosomal RNA, internal transcribed spacer 2, and large subunit ribosomal RNA
Rfam family: 5.8S ribosomal RNA (bases 1-120)
Source: RNAcentral